GGAAAAAAGUCUGGGAACCACUGAUCUAAUAGAAUACAGGAGAGCUGUAGGUCGUCCACUUCCAACAUAUAA
Non-coding RNA from Biomphalaria pfeifferi, 72 nucleotides. Lineage: Eukaryota; Metazoa; Mollusca; Gastropoda; Planorbidae. The record is from the annotation of a GenBank genome assembly.